Non-coding RNA from Massospora cicadina, 71 nucleotides. The record is from the annotation of a GenBank genome assembly. Lineage: Eukaryota; Fungi; Entomophthoromycota; Entomophthoromycetes; Entomophthorales; Entomophthoraceae.
AUCUCCAUAGCUCAACGGUAGAGUGGUUCAUUGAAAAUGAAUUUGUAUAGGUUCAAUUCCUAUUCGAGAUA